GAAGAGAGAGUCGUCGCGGGCGCCGCGGCGGGUGAGUCAGAGGCACUCAUUCAUCCUUAUCUUUUUUUAAAGAAGUGUAAUCUUCCGGGGUAGAUGAUCUGGAAGAUUAAGAAUAGGAGGGAUGCACUUUGCACGUCCUCAGAGACACACUGUGAGUCUUGUAACAAAAAGGGGUGUGAGCGUUGGAGACUAGGGUUGUGUUUUAUUUUAUUUUACUUCCAUUGUCCUUUAUGAAUCACUUUCCAAAUGAUUCACAAUGAGGCAUCAAAGGACCAAGUGGGGCUAGGGAUGUCCCCUGGAAAAACGCUGCCAGUCCGUGUAGGAAACGCUGAGCUAGAUGGUGCAAUAUCUGACUCAUUAAAAGGCAGCUUCCUAUGUUCCUCUCUAAACCAGCCCUUAAACAUGAGGCCUGGGAUCUUAUUUUAUCUUAAAGAGUACAGCUGUAGCUCAUUCUCGGUCGUGGCGCCCGCCCUGUGGAACGCCCUCCCACCAGAUGUCAAAGAGAAAAAUAACUACCAAACUUUUAGAAGACAUCUGAAGGCAGCCCUGUUUAGGAAAGCUUUUAAAGUUUGAUGGUAUUUUAAUAUUUUGUUGGAAGCCGCCCAGAGUGGCUGGGGAAACCCAGUCAGAUGGGCGGGGUAUAAAUAAUAAAUUAUUAGUAGUAGUAGUAGUAACAGCAUCUGCUUUGAAUGUGGAAGAUCCCUGGUUCAGUCCUUGAUGGUCUGGGAGAGAGACUCCCUUGCCUUGAAACCAUCAAGAGCUGCUGCCAGUCAGUGCAGGAAAUACCAGUGGUCUGAUUUGGUAUAAGGAAGCUUCCUAAAUUCCCUGUCUAUCUAUUGAUCAGUCGUCCAACACACACACACACAAAAUCUCAACUCCAAAGCAGAUCCGGAACAGGAUAAGAAACCCUACUUAAAAAGCUUGCUGAAAAGAUAGAGAUGGCAAUGAUCUGAUCUGUGGUGUUGUUGCUUAAUUAUUAUAAAUGUGCGUUUGGGUUUUCUAUUCUAACCCUGUGUACUCAGGAGUCAGUCUUCUUGAAUUCAGUGGGGCUUCCUUCCCAGGCUUUCUCAUAAACAAUACAAAAAUCCCUGUUGCAAAAUAGUGAGCAAGGUUUUGGGUCCUACAGAGCUCUUCUUCAUCAGCCUGGAUGCCAAGUGAAACAGAGCAACGUGGGGGACCUGGCUCAGUGCGGGAGAAACAAGGCUUGAGGCUGGGUCACAAAUUUGACAUUUAGUCAGCAUCUUAAGAGGGAGUGUGUGGGAAGUGAUGGCAGACAGUAUUCUUACUGUGCUGUGAGGAAGGGACUUGUAAGGUCUGAAUGCUUGCAUCAUUUUAAAAAUUGCCAAUCAGAAAAUUAUUAUUAUUAUUAUUCAAUCAUCUUUCAUUACGAAGAGAAAUGCCAAGGUGGUUUACAAACAAAAGCCAGCAAUGAAAAACCAAUAUCCAUAUAUACGUCGCCAAGCUUUUGCUGGCAGCCAAAGGCUCAGAGCCAAUAUAUUCAGAUACUUUCAUUUAUUUACUUGACAUUCCUUAAAAUUCUUACUCAGCGGAACCUCCCCGAGUGACUUGCUCUUUUAUUGCUUCUGUUUUGCAACAAAUAGAUAGGGGAUAAGAAAUAAUCAGGCUGCUGCUUUAUAAGCAAAUAUUGAUAAUGAUUAAAACAAUACGUAUAACCUGAUGAAGCAGAGAUGUCUUAGCCAAGCCAUCAGAAGGGAGAGGCAGGAAAAACUGGUUGUCCUCAGCUUUCCACCCUGCUCUGUGUCCUGUCAGUUUUCGGGAUAUUUCCAGUGAGUUUAAAUUAAGGCUGUGUCCCAUUUAACAAAAUUUGGGUUGAUUCAUUGUAUGAGUGUUGAUUGACUGAACUUCCUGAUGGUAGGAGCAGUUUUACAAUGGAAUGGACUGCCUUGGAAGGUGGUGGACUCUCCUUUCCUGGAGGAUUUUAAACAGAGGUUGGAAGGCCAUCUGCCAGGGAUCCUUUAGCUAGGAUUCCUGCAUUGCAGGGGGUUGAGCUGGAUGAUCCUUUGGGAUCCCUUUCCUACAGUUCUAUGUUUCUGUUAUUCAGUCUGCGCAGGAAGCUUGUGGAGCUUUCAGUCCAAAGGCAGUCUAUCAUCAAAUAUCAGUUACGGGAGAGUAAUGGAUGCUGGGAUCGGGCCUUUGGUGUGGUGACAGAUGCCCUUUGGAACUGAAACUGUACAUCAGACAGGCGCUCUCUCCGUGGGAUCUCACGUUUGCUAAAGGCUUUCUUCUGUCAACAAGAGGCUUGUUUCUGCAGCCACACAAGCAAACCCUUCUCUCCAACCUCCAUCCAGGCAAGAAAUGAGGGAGGACAAAAACCAGUGCCAGAUUUACGUACAGUGGUACCUCAGGUUACAUUUGCUUCAGGUUACAUACGCUUCAGGUUACAGACUCCGCUAACCCAGAAAUAGUGCUUCAGGUUAAGAACUUUGCUUCAGGAUGACAACAGAAAUCGUGCUCCAGCGGCGCGGCGGCAACAGGAGGCCCCAUUAGCUAAAGUGGUGCUUCAGGUUAAGAACAGCUUCAGGUUAAGAACGGACCUCCAGAACGAAUUAAGUACUUAACCCGAGGUACCACUGUAUAAACUAAACAAGCUAUAGCUUAGGGCCCCACUCUCUUGAGGGCCCCAAAAAAAUUAAAGGGAAAAAAACCUGGAUAUACAUUUCCAAAAUCUAACGUAAAAUACAAAUAAAAUAAAACCUACAUACAUCAACAGCGUUUUUGUUGUGUAGGCUCCUAGGAUGUAAGUAAUGCCCCCUGCCUCCUAGCCUGCUCCCUAAAAUAUAACUGGUUCUUAACUGUGUUUCAGUUCAACAAUUACUUGGAUAAAAUACAUAUUUUGUUAUGUGCAAAUAGCUUUAGAUACUUAUUAUCCACAAAUGGCUUUAGAUACUUAUUAUCCACAAAUUACUGUAUAGCAUAUAUUCAACCCCAAAAAACCAGCGACAAUUUGUUGUUGACAAAGGACAGCUGGACAUAUAAAGGGCCCCAUUCCCUUCAGGGCCCUUAUCAAACCUAAAUCCAGCCCUGACAAGAACCAACACCCAAGGGUGCCACAAAACAGGGCUGGCGUGGGGGCGUGGCUCUGCAGGGUGUGUGGCCUGAGGGCGAGUCCUGGGGGCCGGGCAGAGAGGUAUGGAGGGCCACAUUAUUAUUUUUUACCUCCAAGGGUGAGGCCCACCAUCCCUGGCUUACGUGUGAAGAUGGCGCAUGUUGCGCAGACGAGUGUGGGCAAUGAAAGACCCCUCCACUGAGAGGCAGACAAGCGAAGAGGGCAAACCAGUCUUCCCAUUCCCAGAUACAGAAGUCAACAGGACAGACACAGGGGGGUUAUUUUUACCACACUGGAGACAGGUCAGUGUCCUCCGCGGCACAUAAAGGAGGCAGCCAUCUAGCUUAGUGAGCACAAGUUAUAGAAACAUGGGACUGGAGAGCUUGUAGGCACCCCAGGGGUCAUCUAGCUCAACCCCCUAUGGGGAGGGAAUCACAGCGAAAGGAUCGCUGGCAGAUGCCCCCCCCACCUCUGCUUAGAAACCUCCAACGAAGGAGGAAGUCCGUUCCACUCAGAAAGUCUUUCCUGCAUCCGACUCCUGCUGCAAACCCUCCUCCCGGUCCAGAAUCUGCCUUGUGUUUACAGUGGUACUUCGGGUUAAAAACUUAAUUUGUUCUGGAGGUCUUUUCUUAACCUGAAACUGUUCUUAACCUGAAGCACCACUUUAGCUAAUGGGGCCUCCUGCUGCUGCUGCACCACCGGAGCACAAUUUCUGUUCUCAUCCUGAAGCAAAGUUCUUAACCUGAGGUAAUAUUUCCGGAUUAGUGGAGUCUGUUACCUGAAGCGUCUGUAACCCGAGGUACCACCGUAUUUACGAAUGGAUUGAUCGGACAAGAGCAAGAUUGGGUCCAACAGUCAUAAAGGCUGUUUCUUCAUGUGCCCUAGAGGGAAGUGAGGGGCUGAUGGGGCUCUUCCACCUAGGAAGGGAGCCCAUCUAAGGAGAAGGAAAACUCUGAUCCUAAACCUCUGUUGCCUUGUGAGAUCUUCGGGAGAAAAACGGCUAAAGUGGAAAACAGGGGUAGGCAAACUAAGGCCCGGGGUCCGGAUCCGGCCCAGUCACCUUCUAAAUCUGGCCUGCAGACGGUCCGGGAAUCAGCGUGUUUUUACAUGAGUAGAAUGUGUGCUUUUAUUUAAAAUGCAUCUCUGGGUUAUUUGUGGGGCAUAGGAAUUCUUUCUUUCUUUCUUUCUUUCUUUCUUUCUUUCUUUCUUUCUUUCUUUUCAAAAUAUAGUCCGGCCCCCCACAUGGUCUGAUGUUAUAAUAUAUCAGUUCCAACAGUCAUACAACAUAUCUUCUCAUCUUAUACAAUAUUUUAGACUUCCGUCAACGCCUCUGAUGAUUUUCCGUUCUUAAUCACUUAUUCUGCAUUUCUUAAUUUCUAUAUUAUCCUUAACGAAUCAUUCUUUUCAUAGUCUUUCUUGCAAUAUUUCAAAUAAUCCACUUUACAAAAUUUCUUGCAAUCCUACUAGCGUAAUCUGUUCCUCACAAUUACUUUUCAAAUAAUUCAUAUACCCGUAUUUUUCGCUCUAUAGGACGCACUUUUUCCCCUCCAAAAAUGAAGGGGAAAUGUGUGUGCGUCCUAUGGAGCGAAUGCAGGCUUUCCCGGGCUUCCUGCAGCUCCGCGCCACCCUCCGGAUCCCGGCGCGAAGCCGCGCGGGGCUCCGGAGAGUAGCGCAGAGCUGCCUGCAUUCCAAAGCCUGGUGCGCACCGAAGAGCGCGCCCAGGCUUCGCGCACCUCUCCACAAGCCUGGGGAGACCGGCUCGGUUCCCUAGGCUUGCGGAUAGCAGGCUGUUCUGGGGGCUGGGGUCGGGGGAAGCUCGGGCUUCCCCCGCGCCUGCCCCAUGCCUGGGGAGGGAUUUUUUUUUUCUUUAUUCCCCCCCCCCAAAAAAAUUAGGUGCAUCCUAUGGGGCGGUGCGUCCUAUGGGGCGAAAAAUACGGUAUUUACUCCAGUCCUCUAAGAAUCUCUGAUCUCACAGGUUUCGAAUCCUUCCUGUUAAUUUAUCUUAUUCUGCAUAGUCCAUGGACUAUGUCCUAACCCCCAAGUCCUAACCCGACACCCUAAACGCUGCCCCACGCCGGCUCUCCAAGCGAACAUUAGGUCUAAUGAUAGGGCCGGCUCUCUUAAGUCCCUGGGCUUGAGGAGAUUUGGCAUUUGAUCUUGUAGGAGCCGUGCAGCUUCACCGGAUGUGGCUGUCAUCGAUGGACAAUUUCGCUUGCUGCAAGCCGCUCCCCAGCCGCAGACCGGAGAGAUCCCGUUUUUUCCUCACCAUUCCCUCUCCGACAUAGUCAUGGGAGAGAGAUUUAUUUGCCUCAUUCGGAGAGCUUGCCUCUUUUGCUCUCCCUUUUUUGUGUGCGUGAGUCAGUGAUUCAACCCACCCCGAAGAGUUUUGCAAUGACCUGAUCUCUCACACGCACGACUCUCCAGAAGGGACUGUUGGAAAGAUCAGCUCGGAGCACAAAGAUCACAGUGAUGAGAGGGUGAUCUUGUCGGCUGGGGGGGGGGUCUCCCUUGUGGAAAGAUCCUGCUGGAAUGAUUUAACAAGGCUGCAUCAUAUAUGGCUCCCCUUUAUCACAUACACAGCCCAACAAGACAAUAACAAGAAUCCACCAACAGCAUACAAAUCAAUAUGGCUAACCUGAUCCAAAACACCCACCCACCUCACUCACACACGAAAACAAAGAUCAACACAGCCAAUCACAAGCAAACAACCACACCCUAGGCCAACCCCAACCUCUCUCACCACCAAAGGAACACAAGUGAACAACACAAGCAACGCUGGCACCAAACUCUACAUACAUUAAACAUAAUAGAAACAUCGCCACCCGACCCCACCCCCACCCAUCUACCGUCCCUCCACCCCCAUUUAUUUUAUUUUUUUCUUCUCCCCCUAAUGUCUCAACAAAUGAAACGGAUUUGUAAAAAUGUUACAUGGAAAAAAUAUGAGGCAUUACACUUACUUCUGUAAAAUAAGAAAAUCCUUAAUAAUAUAUAUAUAUAAAAAAACAAGGCUGCAUCAUUCAUUUGCAUACAGUGGCGAAGGGAAGAUUGUUAGCUAUUCAGGGUGUAGUUCAUUGAUUAAGUCGGCAAGUGUUUGAGUUGAUUAAGCGGGCAUUUAAAAGAAGGCAAAAAGUCCAUCAAUCUGCAAGAAGGCGGGACGCUUUGGGGCCAGUUGAUUAAGUGGGCAAAUGUCCAGGUUGAUUAAGUGGACAUUUAAAAAAACGCAAAAGCCGAUCAGGAGGGCUAGAUGCCUUGACCCCUUCACAAGGCCGGUGGAGACCAUUUGAUGCCAAAGCAGUUUGCUUCUUAAUUGGCGUCUUUUUAAAGCUGGGCAAAAGUUGUCCUUCGUUCCUGCCUCCCUGACUCUGUGCUAGCGCCGGCGUUUCCCCGCGGUGCCAUGAAAAGGUUGCAAUCGCUGCAGAUUUUAUUGGCUGCCCCGAUUUCAGUUUGGUGUUGUGCUGUAAACAGCCUUCAGAGAGACCUUUGCCGUUUGGUGUGGUGAUAAAAAAGAAUGAGAGAAGGGAAGGGAAUGAGGCCGCGAGGGCUACUGCCAGAUUUAUUUCUUUUUAAGGAUUUAUCUGAGUGUGCGAAGCGGGCUAGCCCUAUAAAACUGCUGCUAGCCGUGAUAGCUCGAUGAAGCCUCCAUAUCCAGGCACAGUCUAUCUGCUAAACGCCAGCUGUUGAAGGAAAAACCAGGGAAAGCUGAUGCCUCACUUGGGGGCUUCCAGCUGGGCACCGCAGGCAAACAGGCCUGUGGACUGAUCUCUCUAUCUUCCAAUAUACAUUAAAAUGUAAGGUGUCGUCACACUUCAGCGUGGGUGCGGUUCAGGAGAGGCCCUUACACAGUGGUUUAGUAAAAGGGAGUCGGUGGGGGGGCUUUGGGGAGUCUAUGGAGAAAUAGGGAAGGGGUGAAUGAGGUGUAAAGGGAAGGGGUUGUUAAUAAUAAUAAUAAUAAUAAUAAUAAUAAUAAUAAUUUAUCUAUACCCUGCCCAUCUGGCUGGGUUUCCCCAGCCAUUCUGAGCGGCUCCCAACAGAAUAUUAAAAACACGAUAAAACACCAAACAUUUAAAACUUACCUAAACAGGUCUGCCUUGUUUCAUUUUUAUUCAUUUAUUGCAUUUAUAGCCCACCUUCCCCCUUUCAAGGAGCUCUUGGGAGACCCGGGUUUGAAUCCCCACACUUUGCUGUGUGUAGAGUGAUGGGAAGCUGGCAGAGGGGUUGGCGAGAGGAGAGGGUGUGUGUCCAUGAAUAUGUCAGUCUGGAUAGCUCAGUUGGUUAGAGUGUGGUGCUCAUAAUGCCAAGGUUUCAGGUUCAAUCCCUGUAUGGAACAGCUGCGUAUUCCUGCAUUGCCGGGGGCUGGACUAGAUGAUCCUCGGGGUCCCUUCCAACUCUGCAGUUCUAUGAUUCUGUUGUAUUUAAAGCUGCAGCGGCAGCAGACAUGCAAAGAGGAUGUUCCUGCAUGCAGUUGGUACCAGGGGUGGGUGGCUGGGAAUCCCUGAAUUUCAACAAAUUGGAUGGAGAAGGAAGGAAAUGGUUACUCAAAACGCCCUUACUUCUCAUUUGCUGGCAAAAAAAAGUUGUGAAUUACCGUAUUUUUUGCACCAUAACACUCACUUUUUUCCUCCUAGAAAGUAAGGGGAAAUGUCUGUGCGUGUUAUGGAGGGAAUGCCUACGGGUGGCAUGCCUACGGAUUUUCCUCCUCUAAAAACUACGUGCGUGUUAUGGUCGGGUGCGUGUUAUAGAGUGAAAAAUACGGUACUUUGCUUCUAAUGCCCUUCUCCCUUCCCCCAACAAAAACCACAUCAUUUUAUUUUUUAUUAUUGUUUUAUUUUAUAUUUAUUAAUCUUUUAUACUGCCUUCCAUCUAAGGACCAAAGGGUGGUUCACAAUAUAAAAAAACCAAAAACAACUACAGUGGUACCUCAGGUUAAGAACUUAAUUCGUUCCAGAGGUCUGUUCUUAACCUGAAACUGUUCUUAACCUGAAGCACCACUUUAGCUAAUGGGGCCUCCUGCUGCUGCCGCGCCGCCGGAGCAAGAUUUCUGUUCUCAUCCUGAAGCAAAGUUCUUAACCCGAGGUACUAUUUCUGGGUUAGCAGAGUCUGUAACCUGAAGCGUACGUAACCCGAGGUACCACUGUAACGUAGAUUUUGGAGAGUUUCGGGUGGGAAGUUCCAUGCCAGAUUUCUCAAAUCCGGACUGGGGCAGUGGGAGGUGUUGGCAGUCCUGCAGAUGUUGCCACACUACAACUCCCAUCAUCCCUGGCCAUGCUGGCUGCUGGGAGUUGGAGUCCGACAACAUCUGGAAUGCCACAGGCUCCCCAUCAUUGGAUCAGAGCCAACUUCCCCAACCUGGUGCCCUCUUGGUGUUGUUGACUGGCAAGUCCCAUCCGUCCUGGCCAGAUGUUUUGGCCCAGGAUUCCUGGCGUUGACGGGGGCUGAUGGGAGUUGCAAGUCCAAAACAUCUGGAGAGCACCAGGUAUGAGAAAGCUGCUGUUAGAGGAUUGUGUAUCGGGUCGAGACAGAGGCUCUUGGAGGGUGUAGAUGGCUUCGCAAGCAGCAAAGUUCCCAUCAGUGUGGUUUCCCCGCCUGAGACACACCGGCACUUCGCACAGUCAGAACAAAACAGAGCAAGCAAAAGGGUGCACAGGAAUGACUUUGCAAAAGAAGGGCUCUGCGUCUCCGCCUGGCUGGAUGCAAAUGGCUGCCGCUAGUGGCUCUCCUUCAGUGCGCAGCUAUGCUCUGCACACUUCUCUCCCAGAAAUGGAAGCUGAGAUGUCGGCUUUUGCCAGUAUAAGUUGACUGGGUUGGAGCCAUCAGCGACUUUUAACCAUGCCUGCUGAGUGAAACUUCCAUAUUCCAGCGCAGUCUAUCUUGAGAUUGCAAGUUCCCCAGAGAGUUGCCUGAUGCCCCCUUCAGCACUGUUUUUCAUAGGGUCACUUAUUUAAUUGGUGGGUUUUUAAAAAAAAUAUUUGUGUGCUUUGAGUUAUCCCUGUUUUAUUCUGGGAGUUUCCUUGGGUUCUGCACUAGGAGAAAGGCUGGAUAUAAAUAAAAUAAAUUACUCUCCUAAUUUAUUCCUGUAUUGCAGGAGUUUGGACUACAUGAGCCUUAGGGUCCCUUCCAACUCUCCAAACCUCCAUCCUUUCCUUCAAGCCUGAGAAUGAUUGUUCUCUUGUGUUUUUCCAGCCCCCAGAGAAGGAAAUUGGUUGAAAUAUGAGCUGCCUCUGUCAUCUCCAGAAGAGGCAAACCAGUUUGGGUUAUGUAAGCGUUUGCAACGGCUGCCAAUGAAUUUAGGAUACCUGGCCUCAGGUGUUGGAGCCGAACCUGGAAUGGAGUUGCCAAACUCGUGACUCAUUUCACCGUUGAGCCGCUUCUUUCUACUCUUCCCCUGCAAUGGCAGCCGGUCCGUUAGGGCAAAUGGGUCGCUGCCCCACAGACCUCACUUGCCCUGCCUUCUUUCUCAAAACCAAGCCGGCGAGUGGCUCUGGGUGUCAGCCUCCUCCUCCAUCUCAGGAGGAAGAAACUAGGAUGAUCUGGCUCUGCCUCUCAUUGUCUGUGGCUCGGUUUGGGGUCCCUGCCCCACCAGCCCCAAUGGGCACCAGCCACCAGGGGAGCAUCGGAAGAGGCUGCUGAUCAGGCCAAUGACCCAUCGAGUCCAGCAGCCUGCUCUCACAGAAUCAUGAGGACUAGGACCGUGCCUCUCAAAAACAAAAGCGAGCUUCUCUGCAAGCUGAAUUCUGUAGCUAUUGUCAAAGAUAAGAGGUUGGCUGCUGGAUCAGGCCAGAGGGGGCCUAUCUAGUUCAGUAUCCUCUUCUCAGAGUGGACCCCCAGAUGCCCCAAUGGGAAGCCCACAAGCAGCUCCCUAGUGCAACAUGUCGCUUCCAGCAACUGGCAUGGAGAAGCAGGACUUCUUGGUUUCUGAGUUGUUCACUCUUGAGUUCAGUUCUCCACACUGCCUUGCAUUUUUUUUUUUAAAGUCCUCAUGGAAAUUCAGCAGCAUUUUAGGGUGAAUUUCUAAUAUACACACGUCUGUAUGCAAUUUGCCCCAAUGUGCUCACUUUCUGCAAAUGCAUUUUUUUUAAAUGUUUUUUCAUGAAUAUUUGCAUUUUUUAGGCGUGCCUUACCCUGGCCUGUGCAUUUUUGCACACAUCGCUUGACUGGAGAACUGCAAAAUUCUGAGAAGCGUGAAUUUCAAUGGGCGGCUGCAUUGCCAGUUCACGUAUGGCUUUCAGGAAGUGCGAAUUGAGGCGUCGCCGCCUCUGAACACAAACGGAACCACGUUUCUCCCCAGGUAAGGCUGGGGAUAAGGCUCCCCGUUUGCCAACCGGAGAGCGGCUCCCCGUCAGUGUAGGCAAUAUUGAGCUAGAUGGACCAUUGUUCUGACUCCCCACAAGGCAGAGUUCUUUCAUCUGGUUGGUCUCAUCACAGCACAGAAUGUGGGCGCUGAGAUCUUCCCACUAGGCGAAGGAUGCUUUGAGUCGCUUUGCUCUCAUGAGCAAGACUUCAAGGUGGGCUAUUUUGGUGCCUAUGCAAAUGACACCCUGGGGCUGUCCUGACGGCUCCCCAGUGGGUCCAGUUUCCUCUUUCAGCCACAGACUUCUGGGCAAUGACACUGUCAUAUGAAGAUUUAGCACAGACUGAGAAAGAGCUGUAGGGUAGGGAGGGACCCGAGGGUCAUCUACACCAACCCCCUGCCGUGCACCCCCCCAUACCUGUUCAUGCAGGACCAGCAGCUGCAUGCAACACAUCUGGUGGCACAAGAUGUCAUUCAUGCUGAUGGUGUAGGUGCCACUGCCUCGCCCACCCCUGCCCCAGAACAUCUGUUUCCUGCUUGCCAUGUGAGAAUGAAAUUCGCAGGUGGCUCUCCUUGGUCACACGGUAGUGUGACCAGGAGAACUGAUGCUGAUGCAGCAUGGUGACUGAGGCGCACACACACGCACUUGAACAUGGCUCCUGGUCCAUCACAUCAAAUGCUUCUGCACAAGCCACACAGAACACACAUUGUGGUAGUGUCCAAUCACAUUAUUGGGGUACCAGACUUAUUUUUACAUCUCUCUGUUGUGGGCCACUUGUAAUAUCAAUUCAACACAUCAGCACAACUGUACCCCCCCCCCAAUUUGGAAAUUUAGAAAACCGAGUGGUAAUGGUUCAGGCAUGUUGGCUAAAAGGUGAGACCUCCGUGGCUGAAACGCACCUGGCUCUUCUAGUAAGAGAUCAGAGGCUCCCACCUGUGGUUUGUGAGCUUAAUUCAGGUGGUCAGUGGCAUGUCUGUGGAUUUGUAGUUGGAAAAGACUGAAUGUUCACAUACUGAUUUUAAAUGGACACAGGAGUUUGACGUGGAGUUAUGCAUUUGGACAUACUGUUUUGAUUCACUCCUCAUAUUAAAGUGUUAAAUUAUUUAUUUCAUAAGAGUUGGGUAGCAGCUGAUUGCACAAUUUAUACUUUUGAUGCUUUGCAAUUCAUUGAUUUGUGUUUUAUCCUGGCUUGUUGACAAGUCUCUCACUCUAUAUCUUGUAGGGUUGUUGUGAGAAUGGCAAGGUAAUAUUUUUCUUACCUGCUCCUGUUAUUCAAAGAGGUGUAGUCAUUACUUUUUAAAAAAAGAAAUCUAAUUAAAUUGGAGUUGUUUUAAUUGCCCCGACAUUGGUUAUGUGUAUAUGUUUUGAAUAUUCAGAAGGCUGCCAUCCUAUUUACCUGGGAGCUAGUCCCAUCUGACUCAAUGGAACUUACUUCUGAGUAGACUCUGUCCCCAUCUGCACUCUACAUUGGAAGCAGUAUCAUACCACCUUAAACAGUCAUAGCUCCCCCCACAAAUAAUCCUGGGAACUGUAGCAUAUUAAGGGUGCUGAGAGUUGUUGAGAGAGCUACAAUUCCCAGUGUGUCCUGGGAAGAGGGACUAACAGUUAAACCACUCAGGAACGACAGGAUGCGGCCUAGACAAGAGCAGUGCCAAAAGCCAAGUGUCAGAAACCAAAGGCAUUUAUUAGAAAUAUUAUGCAGACCCUGCGCCCAAUGCUUCAGUAACGUUAAUCUUCUUUAAAUAAAAACAUUGGCAGUCGCACGUCCUCGACUGUUGAAGACUCCGAGGGCCUGUACAUUCUAGUGUGCUCUUGGUGUAUAAAUAAGAUGGUUUUGCUCUCCGGCGGGAACAGUUCAGACUUGAAGCGCCCAGUCCAGGCCGAGAGAGAGGUCCGGUUUUUGUUUUUUUAAUAACUGAAACACUCACAAGGAAAGAUGAACAAACAAAAUAUCUGGAAGUUGGCACGUGUAAAGGCUAACAAAAUAAAGAUAAUAGAGGGCAGGGCAGGGAUCCAGAAUCUGUUAGCUCUCCCAAAACAGAUUAAUAAGCAGAGGAAAGGACUCUGUUGGUUCAUUGCCAGCCGGAGUCAAUUGAUGGCAUAUUGGAAAGAUCAUUAGCACCUGCAGACACCAGCCAUUCCAGUUGGGACACCUGCUCAGGAGUCAUUUGGGUUUUUACAAAAUUAUGGGGUGGGGGCUCCAGCACCUCUCCAGAUGUCAGGAACCCCCGGGCCUUAUCCUGCUCGCUUGUUGCUCCUGCUGGGAUCCAGUGACAUCUGCAGGCCACAGAUGUCCACGCCCAAUUCCCUGCAUUAUAUUAUGGGGUGCAUUUCACUGGAGAAGCAUGGAAGAUGGGGAAUCCUUCAAAUGAGUAGAUUCUCCUGCACGUGUUGCUGGGACUCUCAACGGUCACCAGCCGGCACAGCUGCCAGGGAUGAUGGGAUUUCAGAGUCCAACAUCUGGAGGAACACUGGCGCUCCAUCCCUGGCCUACAGUCACACGACCCCCAACGCUCCUAUGUCAAGGACGGUGCCCCCCUUGGCAUCAUUUUGGGAAAGGGGGGCGCAGGUUGAUACGGCCGCCUUGUGUUGUGUGGAGGAAGAAGCUAACAGGCCACCCUCUGGCUUCACCCGCAGGAGGAGGAGUGGAAAGUGCCUGAAUAAAACCCUGCACAGGUGGACCCCAAAUUGAGGAGGGUUGAAAAGAGAAGCAGCAGGCUUUGAAAUCUGGCGGCAUUUCAGUGACUGAGAACCCCGGGGAAAUUAAGCUCAGAGUCACCCUGGCUUUCUCCUCCUGCACCUCAUUUUUGGAGGGGAGGGAGAAGGAGAUGGAGUCCUAACACACACACACACACACACACACACACACACGUCUAUCUUCCCAACCUUCAAGAGCAAGGGAAGUGGAUUCAGAACCUGCCCCUAAAACAUUCCCUUCAAGAUGCUAGGCCUCAAGAGAGCUGGAGGCUGGUUGCGCCUCUGGCAAAGAACCUGCCCAGCCUUCCUUCUGACACCUCAGCUCAGCAUUACUGACAAAAUCAAUAGACAAAACUCCCACUCUGACACGGACAUUUCAAAUGCCUCAUCUGCUCUCCUUGCAACUGUUACGGGUGCGAAUCCACGCCUCGCUUUGCUCUGGAACCUCCUUCUUCCCCCUCACUCAGCUUCUCCCUGCUUUUCUGAAGACAAAACCAAACCGGACCUUCAGGAUGACCAGACACGAACCCUCACUCACUUCCCACCUUUCCUCCAUCUCUUGCACCAACUGAGGUGCACAGCGAAGCCAACAAACCUCCCUUUCACAACGCCCCCCCCCCCAGGUAAACCACAUUUCUGAUGCAAUCCAACACCUGGACACUCAAUGGCCCAGAAACAUUAACCUUGUAGGCAUAUAUCACACAUACACACACACACAUAACUUUGCCAACUGAUGUUUACGAGACAGUCUGAGGGACCGGUUUAAAUAUGCUGCCCUGAAAGGACCACCUCAGACUUUUUUGCCCCUACCUGCCUCACAUGUAACGACAAACCUCCUGUUAAAGUAGAGAAAAUGGCAAAAUGCAGACAGCAGCACAGAAAUCUCCUUUCCCCUACAGAUCACGGGGCAAUAACAUCAGAGGCUGCAAUCACAGGGACCUCCAGAAGUUGCUGGAAUCCUACUCAGCCUUAACUGAUGCUGGCUGCAAGGGGCGGGUGGGAGUUCGGGUACCAUUAUGCCUAGAGGGGUCCGUCCCCCCCCCCCGUCUACCUUGUUGGGUUCUUGUUCCAUCUACUCAUGGCUACAGACCUCGGCGUUGGACGCAACUCACUAAAGGAACCGUGCUUUUCCUGGACUGUAGUGAUUUAGAUUCCCUCCCCCCAGCACUUGACUCCCCCAGGUUAAAGGUCUGUUUGCCUGAUGAAAAUGCAAAGGUGGUCUGCAACUUCCUUUGACCCGGUGGCACGUUUUCUCCAGAGAAGAUGGCAAAGGAUUUUGGAAUGACUGGAUGCUGUCUGGAGACUGGCAGGUUUCGGCUAGGAACCAUGAGGACCAGCACCGGACAGCUGAAAGUCUUCAGGCAGAAACCUUACAGCAGGCCUGCCUGAAGUCUUCUUUCCACAGCCAUUGGCAUGUCAAAGGGGAGAAGGGGCUUUGAAUGGGAAGGGGAGACCCCAAAAAAGUGGGGAAAGCUCAGCUCAAGCCAAGACCAAGAGCGGGGAAAGAGAUUGAAGUUCUCUCACUGACGUCUGGGAGGUGGCGGCAGAAACUGAGGCCUCCUCCUUUGGCAAAGCAAACAACUUCAAACAAUUAUUUGGCACCUUCAACUUCGUAUCCAGUAACAGAAAACACAUGAUAAUUUGGGUGUGCAGGCUGUCCUCCAAACCUUCUGCGACCUUACGGUGGGAUGUCUAACACAUCCCUUGCAGAGCCACAGGGCAUGGAAGAAGCAGCAGCAGAUGUGGGCGAUGUGAGCAAGGAAGACGUGGCAAGGAAGCACAUCCUUCGCAGCAUCCUCUAGAGGACCCUGGGGUUUGUGCCCACGGGUCAUGUCACCCACACACGGCACUCCUGUGACAGGCUUUGCCUCCCGAGUCUCAGAAAGGAGCCGGCGACUCACACCAAAGCGGCAAGGAGGAAAUUCUACCAAGCCAAAGGAAGCGCCACUUGUGUUUGUGACCUGGUG
Molecule: non-coding RNA, 15020 nt
Organism: Podarcis lilfordi (Lilford's wall lizard)
Lineage: Eukaryota; Metazoa; Chordata; Lepidosauria; Squamata; Lacertidae
Source: the annotation of a GenBank genome assembly